This 376-nucleotide unclassified non-coding RNA is filed under the name soil metagenome. RNAcentral describes it as "partial contains 5.8S ribosomal RNA, internal transcribed spacer 2, and large subunit ribosomal RNA". The stretch from base 1 to 120 matches the Rfam family "5.8S ribosomal RNA", at positions 35 to 154 of the family's 154-position model. The record is from RNAcentral.
GAUGAAGAACGCAGUGAAAUGCGAUAAGUAAUGUGAAUUGCAGAAUUCAGUGAAUCAUCGAAUCUUUGAACGCAUCUUGCGCUCCUUGGUAUUCUGAGGAGCACGCCUGUUUGAGUGUCAUUAAAUUCUCAACUACACUGACUUUGAAUUGGUGUGGCUUGGAUUUGGGGGGAAAAUUGUUAUGGGCUUUUUGUAUAGUCUGCUCCCCUGAAAUUGAUUAGCGGUACCUUUGUGGAACUGUCUACAGGUGUGAUAAUUAUCUACAUCUUAGACAUCUGCUGGAAUGCUGCUUUCUAAACCUUACUUGUAUUGACAAUCUUGACCUCAAAUCAGGUAGGACUACCCGCUGAACUUAAGCAUAUCAAUAAGCGGAGGA